Molecule: ribosomal RNA, 669 nt
Filed under: uncultured bacterium
Lineage: Bacteria
Description: bacterial SSU rRNA
Rfam family: Bacterial small subunit ribosomal RNA
Source: RNAcentral
GACAAUGAUACGUAGCCGACCUGAGAGGGUAAUCGGCCACAUUGGGACUGAGACACGGCCCAAACUCCUACGGGAGGCAGCAGUAGGGAAUCUUCCACAAUGGACGAAAGUCUGAUGGAGCAAUGCCGCGUGAGUGAAGAAGGGUUUCGGCUCGUAAAACUCUGUUGUUAAAGAAGAACACUUCUGAGAGUAACUGUUCAGAAGUUGACGGUAUUUAACCAGAAAGCCACGGCUAACUACGUGCCAGCAGCCGCGGUAAUACGUAGGUGGCAAGCGUUGUCCGGAUUUAUUGGGCGUAAAGCGAGCGCAGGCGGUUUUUUAAGUCUGAUGUGAAAGCCUUCGGCUUAACCGGAGAAGUGCAUCGGAAACUGGGAAACUUGAGUGCAGAAGAGGACAGUGGAACUCCAUGUGUAGCGGUGGAAUGCGUAGAUAUAUGGAAGAACACCAGUGGCGAAGGCGGCUGUCUAGUCUGUAACUGACGCUGAGGCUCGAAAGCAUGGGUAGCGAACAGGAUUAGAUACCCUGGUAGUCCAUGCCGUAAACGAUGAGUGCUAGGUGUUGGAGGGUUUCCGCCCUUCAGUGCCGCAGCUAACGCAUUAAGCACUCCGCCUGGGGAGUACGACCGCAAGGUUGAAACUCAAAGGAAUUGACGGGGGCCCGCACAAGCGG